AUGAGUACACUUUAAAUCCUUUAACAAGGAUCCAUUGGAGGGCAAGUCUGGUGCCAGCAGCCGCGGUAAUUCCAGCUCCAAUAGCGUAUAUUAAAGUUGUUGCGGUUAAAAAGCUCGUAGUUGGUUCUGCGUGCCGCGCUGUCGGUUCGCCGCCUGUCGGUGUAACUGGCAUGUCACGGCAUGUCCUGUCGGUGGUGAACGAAGAUCCUCGAUCAAGCUAGGCUUAAUUGCCCAAGUUUGUUUCGUGGUAUUUUCGUUUGCCGAUUUCUCCUACUUCGGUGCUCUUAAACGAGUGUCGAGGUAGGCCGACACGUUCACUUUGAACAAAUUAGAGUGCUUAAAGCAGGCUGAAAUAUCUGCCUGAAUAGUGGUGCAUGGAAUGAUAAAAUAGGACCUCAGUUCUAUUUUAUUGGUUUUAGGAAUAUGAGGUAAUGAUCAAUGUGGACAGGCGGGGGCAUUCGUAUUGCGACGUUAGAGGUGAAAUUCUUGGAUCGUCGCAAGACGCACUAGAGCGAAAGCAUUUGCCAAGUAUGUCUUAAUUGAUCAAGAACGAAAGUUAGAGGUUCGAAGGCGAUCAGAUACCGCCCUAGUUCUAACCAUAAACGAUGCCAGCCAGCGAUCCGCCGAUGUUCCUUUAAUGACUCGGCGGGGAGCUUCUAUCCGGGAAACCAAAGCUUUUGGGUUCCGGGGGAAGUAUGGUUGCAAAGCUGAAACU
Molecule: ribosomal RNA, 715 nt
Filed under: Xenocaucus kimbozensis
Lineage: Eukaryota; Metazoa; Arthropoda; Insecta; Hemiptera; Reduviidae
Description: SSU rRNA
Rfam family: Eukaryotic small subunit ribosomal RNA
Source: RNAcentral